GCUCUCAUAGUUCAAUGGAUAGAACAAGGGACUCCUAAGCCCUAGAUGCAGGUUCGAUUCCUGCUGGGAGCA
This 72-nucleotide transfer RNA is filed under the name Candidatus Pacearchaeota archaeon. RNAcentral's name for it is "tRNA-Arg". It matches the Rfam family "tRNA". Rfam says of the family: Transfer RNA (tRNA) molecules are approximately 80 nucleotides in length. Their secondary structure includes four short double-helical elements and three loops (D, anti-codon, and T loops). Further hydrogen bonds mediate the characteristic L-shaped molecular structure. tRNAs have two regions of fundamental functional importance: the anti-codon, which is responsible for specific mRNA codon recognition, and the 3' end, to which the tRNAs corresponding amino acid is attached (by aminoacyl-tRNA synthetases). tRNAs cope with the degeneracy of the genetic code in two manners: having more than one tRNA (with a specific anti-codon) for a particular amino acid; and 'wobble' base-pairing, i.e. permitting non-standard base-pairing at the 3rd anti-codon position. The record is from RNAcentral. Lineage: Archaea; Nanobdellati. RNAcentral also lists the same sequence under 1 other name.